CAAGCCUUGGCAGCCUGACGCCAUCUUCCUCCCAGCCAGGAAUGGGCCCGCCUACUCACAACGCUCUUCCCAGGCAGAUACUAUCAGGAGGUACCACCCACGUAGGACUACUUGAAUCCAAAUAGUGUGCAGUUUUUCACAUCAUGCAGGAAGAGAGAAAUUUGGACACAGACAUACACGAAGAGAAGAUGGCCACGUGAAGGUGGAGGCAGAGAAUGAAAUUCUGCAUCUACAAGCCAAGGAACAUCAAGGAUUCUGGGAACCACAAGAAGCCAGAAGAGACAAGGAAGGAUUCUUCCCUCGAGGCUUUAGAGAGAGAGAGAGACAGAGAGACAGAGAGAGAGAGAGAGAGAGAGAGAGAGAGAGAAUGGGCCUGCUGACGCUCUGGUUUCAGAUUUCUAGCCUUCCAGAACUGUGAGAGAAUAAAUUUCUGUUAUUUUAAGCCA
Molecule: long non-coding RNA, 446 nt
Organism: Suricata suricatta (meerkat)
Lineage: Eukaryota; Metazoa; Chordata; Mammalia; Carnivora; Herpestidae
Exons: 3
Source: RefSeq, a predicted model, not a curated record